Long non-coding RNA from Gigantopelta aegis, 165 nucleotides. RefSeq lists it as uncharacterized. The transcript has 2 exons. NCBI's taxonomy places the organism in Eukaryota, Metazoa, Mollusca, Gastropoda, Neomphalida, Peltospiridae. The record is from RefSeq and is a predicted model, not a curated record.
GUUUAGGAAACUCCAAGGUAUCGAUGGAGGAGUUUCAAAAGAUGUUAACAGAGAUGAGUAAACUAGAAUAAAGAGAGAGAGAGCAAGACGAGCUGGUUCCAGUGGCGUGUUAAAGAUGGAUCAUCUGUUUAGACAGAAAUAAAAUGUGUAAUUACAAAACCGCAA